RNAcentral lists this ribosomal RNA (306 nucleotides) under uncultured bacterium. RNAcentral describes it as "partial 16S ribosomal RNA". It matches the Rfam family "Bacterial small subunit ribosomal RNA", at positions 507 to 807 of the family's 1533-position model. The record is from RNAcentral.
GACAGCAGUCGCCGCGGUAAUACAGAGGGUGCGAGCGUUAAUCGGAUUUACUGGGCGUAAAGCGUGCGUAGGCGGCUUUUUAAGUCGGAUGUGAAAUCCCUGAGCUUAACUUAGGAAUUGCAUUCGAUACUGGGAAGCUAGAGUAUGGGAGAGGAUGGUAGAAUUCCAGGUGUAGCGGUGAAAUGCGUAGAGAUCUGGAGGAAUACCGAUGGCGAAGGCAGCCAUCUGGCCUAAUACUGACGCUGAGGUACGAAAGCAUGGGGAGCAAACAGGAUUAGAUACCCCAGUAGUCCCUGUCUCUUAUAC